Molecule: ribosomal RNA, 252 nt
Filed under: uncultured bacterium
Lineage: Bacteria
Description: partial 16S ribosomal RNA
Rfam family: Bacterial small subunit ribosomal RNA
Source: RNAcentral
GACGUAGGGCGCGAGCGUUGUCCGGAUUUAUUGGGCGUAAAGAGCUCGUAGGCGGCUUGUCGCGUCGGCUGUGAAAACCCGCGGCUCAACUGUGGGCGGGCAGCUGAUACGGGCAGGCUGGAGUUCGGUAGGGGAGACUGGAAUUCUGGUGUAGCGGUGAAAUGCGCAGAUAUCAGGAGGAACACCGGUGGCGAAGGCGGGUCUCUGGGCCGAUACUGACGCUGAGGAGCGAAAGCGUGGGGAGCGAACAGG